AAAUGGAGUAUGAAACUACAGGCAACGGUGGAGUUACGGUUAAGAUCAAGAGUCCACCAGCUGCAUUCUGGAGUGCAAUUCGAAACUCCACAGUAAUGUUUCCAAUUGCCAUUCCUGACCUAUAUAUAUCCAUCAUACCAAAUCCCAAAAACUUAAAGGAACGCCAAGUCAAGUAUGGCCCACGUUCUCCGAAUAUCAAAUCGUCG
Molecule: unclassified non-coding RNA, 206 nt
Filed under: Hevea brasiliensis (rubber tree)
Lineage: Eukaryota; Viridiplantae; Streptophyta; Magnoliopsida; Malpighiales; Euphorbiaceae
Source: RNAcentral